UCAGAGAAAACAAUCUGGAAAAGGAAAAACAAGGGGAAAAAAAGAGACUGAUAUGAUAGAGAAUUGCAAACGAAUUGUUCAUACUCGAAUUUGAUUGUGAAUUUACAAAAGAAUUCGACAUACCAGAGGUUGAUUGCUUCAAUGGAGAUGGCCAAAAGAAUAUGGUUUUCUUUGGUGGGGCAACCCAUCUUUUUGUUGGUUCUUUUUAGCCCCCUUAUCCCCUUUGUGUGUGGCCGGAAUGUUCAGAAUUCUCCUUCUGGUUUGUAUGGGUUCACUGGAAUAUCAAGUUUUCGGUUAAUAAACCGACGAUCUUUAUUAACUUGUCCUGACCCUAAUCCUUACCUUGCAAUCAAUGUAACCUCUGUUGAUCCCCUUGCGAACGAACAGAAUGUUACUGUUACAGUUAGUGGGGUGAUAAUUCCAGAUAAAUCCGAUUGGGUUGCCAUGAUCUCACCUUCUGAUUCAGAUGUAUCAAGCUGUCCCGUCAAUUCUAUAAUGUAUCAGCAAACAGGGGACUUCAGCAGCCUUCCUCUUCUCUGCCAUUACCCUGUGAAGGCCCAAUUCUUAAGCAUGGACCCUUCAUAUCUCAAAUGUGGGAAGAAAGAGUGUCGAACACAUGCCAGCAAUGUCUGCGUGCUAAGAACAUGCAGUGGGUCUAUCACAUUUCAUGUUGUGAAUAUAAGGACCGACAUAGAAUUUGUGUUUUUCACAGGAGGCUUUGAGACACCAUGCAUUUUGAGGAGAUCUCAACCCUUGAAAUUUGCAAAUCCGAAAAUGCCUCUCUAUGGCCAUCUUUCAAGCAUCGAUUCUACUGCGACCUCUAUGAGGUUAACUUGGGUAAGUGGAGAUCGUUCUCCACAAGAAGUCCAAUAUGGGGACGGCAAAUCUCAAAAGUCCACAGUCUCCACAUUCACCAGGGGUGAUAUGUGCACUUCCGAUUUAGCUAGCCCUGCAAAAGAUUUUGGAUGGCAUGAUCCUGGUUACAUACACUCAGCUGUAAUGACAGGAUUACAAUCCUCCCAAACCUAUUCUUACAGAUAUGGAAGUGAGUCUGCUGGUUGGAGUGAAAAGAUCAAUUUUCACACUCCCACAGCGGGAGGGUCCGAUAAGGUUCGGAUCGUAGCAUUUGGUGACAUGGGGAAGGCUCCUAGAGAUUUAUCAGUUGAGCAUUUCAUCCAGCCAGGAUCAAUCAUGGUGAUCGAAGCCAUAGAAAAGGAGGUGGCCUCAGGCAAUGUAGAUGCAGUGUUCCACAUUGGAGACAUCAGCUAUGCUACAGGAUUUCUAGUGGAGUGGGAUUACUUCCUUCAUCUCAUCCACCCUGUCGCUUCUCGAGUUUCUUACAUGACCGCAAUUGGAAACCAUGAAAGAGACUAUGUGGAUUCAGGGUCGGUAUACGAAACACCAGACUCAGGGGGAGAAUGUGGAAUCCCUUACGAGACCUACUUUCCCAUGCCUUCAUCUUCAAAAGAUAAGCCAUGGUAUUCCAUUGACAUGGGCAGCAUCCAUUUCACAGUCAUUUCAACAGAACAUGAUUGGACUCAAGAAAGUGAGCAGUACAAAUGGAUAGAGAAGGACCUGGCAUCUGUGGACCGAUCAAAGACACCAUGGGUGAUUUUCACAGGACACAGGCCCAUGUAUUCCUCACAAGGAGGAGGUAUAAUCCCAAGUGUAGAUCAACGCUUCACAAAAGCAGUUGAGCCACUCCUCAUGAAACACAAGGUAGACUUAGUUCUAUUUGGUCAUGUUCAUAAUUAUGAGAGAAGCUGCUUCUUGUAUGAGGGGGAGUGCAAGGGCAUGCCAAACAAGGAUAAGAGUGGCUUAGACACCUAUGACAACACCAACUACACUGCCCCUAUUCAUGCUAUCAUUGGAAUGGCUGGCUUUAGCCUAGAUGCCUUCCCCAUUAUCGAAUCUGAAUCGCUAUUUGUCGAACUGAAUAAAAAAUCCAACGGGGCGAUCCGGAUCACCAAACAGUGUUGGCAAAUGGAGUUUGGUUAGGGCUUCCGAAUUUGGAUAUUUUAGAAUACAAGGAACCAAGGAGCAGCUAUCCUUGGAGUUUGUGAGCAUGAGGACAGAGAAUGUGGAGGACAAAUUCAACAUUAUCAAGGCGAAGAGAUAGUCUCUUUCUUGCUUCAACAACUUGAAUAUAAAUUCUAGGGUUUCAAAUUUUCUUGUGUAGAGACAGCCAGAUGGUCGAGGAAGAUAUACACAUCUGAUUAGCCAAUGUGCUUGUAAAAAAAUAAAAUAAAAAAUAAAAAACGAAAGAGAAGAAAAGAAAAGGAGAAGUCAGUGUCCAAAGCCAUGUUUAAAGAGUAUCAGAUCACUCACAUGAGAUCCUAUGCAU
RNA transcript from Amborella trichopoda, 2344 nucleotides. It is a transcript of the gene named putative inactive purple acid phosphatase 27, with no coding region annotated. The record is from RefSeq and is a predicted model, not a curated record. Lineage: Eukaryota; Viridiplantae; Streptophyta; Magnoliopsida; Amborellales; Amborellaceae.